AGGGAAUCUUCCGCAAUGGACGAAAGUCUGACGGAGCAACGCCGCGUGAGUGAAGAAGGUUUUCGGAUCGUAAAACUCUGUUGUAAGGGAAGAACAAGUACGUUAGUAACUGAACGUACCUUGACGGUACCUUACCAGAAAGCCACGGCUAACUACGUGCCAGCAGCCGCGGUAAUACGUAGGUGGCAAGCGUUAUCCGGAAUUAUUGGGCGUAAAGCGCGCGUAGGCGGUCUCUUAAGUCUGAUGUGAAAGCCCCCGGCUCAACCGGGGAGGGUCAUUGGAAACUGGGAGACUUGAGUGCAGAAGAGGAGAGUGGAAUUCCAUGUGUAGCGGUGAAAUGCGCAGAGAUAUGGAGGAACACCAGUGGCGAAGGCGGCUCUCUGGUCUGUAACUGACGCUGAGGUGCGAAAGCGUGGGGAUCAAACAGGAUUAGAUACCCUGGUAGUCCACGCCGUAAACGAUGAGUGCUAAGUGUUGGGGGGUUUCCGCCCCUCAGUGCUGCAGCUAACGCAUUAAGCACUCCGCCUGGGGAGUACGGUCGCAAGACUGAAACUCAAAGAAAUUGACGGGGACCCGCACAAGCGGUGGAGCAUGUGGUUUAAUUCGAAGCAACGCGAAGAACCUUACCAAAUCUUGACAUCCUUUGACAACUCUAGAGAUAGAGCUUUCCCCUUCGGGGGACAAAGUGACAGGUGGUGCAUGGUUGUCGUCAGCUCGUGUCGUGAGAUGUUGGGUUAAGUCCCGCAACGAGCGCAACCCUUAUCUUUAGUUGCCAUCAUUAAGUUGGGCACUCUAGAGAGACUGCCGGUGACAA
RNAcentral lists this ribosomal RNA (814 nucleotides) under uncultured bacterium. RNAcentral describes it as "bacterial SSU rRNA". It matches the Rfam family "Bacterial small subunit ribosomal RNA", at positions 356 to 1161 of the family's 1533-position model. The record is from RNAcentral.